Molecule: long non-coding RNA, 5984 nt
Organism: Heterocephalus glaber (naked mole-rat)
Lineage: Eukaryota; Metazoa; Chordata; Mammalia; Rodentia; Bathyergidae
Source: RefSeq, a predicted model, not a curated record
ACCUGGGCUCAAGUCCUAAACACGCACACAGUGUUCUCCUGGCUCCCUGAAUUUGCUAGCAGCUCUCAGUGUCUUUCUGUUUUUGUUUAUUUGACACAGAAUCUCACUAUGUAGUUCAGGCUGGCCUUGAACUGUUACCCAGGCUGGCUUUGAACUCAUGGCGAUCCUCCUGCCUCAGCCUCCCAAGGGCUGGGACUGCAGGCUUCAGGUUCUUUCUGGGCCCUUUGGCACAUGAUCUUGGACUGGAUUUUCAGAUGAAAACUAAGACCAUUUUGGUUGCACGACAGGCUGAGCAGGGAUGAGGAUCUCAGCCAGGCGGCCUUCCCCACUCUAUCCAGCCUGUUGCCUGGCCGACUGACCCUACCUGGGCAGAGGCUGGGCCUGCCCAGGCCCCACUGUCCCAGCCAAGUCCACCUCCAUCUCUCCGGAGCUCUUCCCCUGGGGAGUGUCCCAGUUAGGGCUGUACGCGCAUACACACACACACCAAGACGCAGGUCACAGAACCACGUGAACGCACACGGGCACACACAGGCUCGAGCCAUGUGCUCUGACUCCCGAGUCACAGACCACACAUGCGCACCUUGGACGGGAGUGGGGGCGUCCCCUCCUCUGGCCCCUAGUGUUGCCCCCUGUGGGUGGCAUGGGUCCCCAGUGAAGGCAGGGACCCCACCCCCCUCAGAUCACCCACCCAGGCCUCCUCAAGCCCACCCACUCAGCUGUACAGUGACCCCCGUCCCACUGAAGCCCUCACCAGGGCUUCGAUGGGCCCCACCGCCACCCCAGCUUGGGCAGUGCCAGCCCCUGGAGGUCACUUCCGUCAAGGCCUCAACUUCUCAUCUGGAAAAUGGGCGAACUCUGCAAAGGACAUGGCGGGAACUCUGAGAUGUCCUGGUAGAAACGAUUAAGGUGGCCUGUGGGUCCCUUCAGGGCUGGGGCUGCUGGGGAACUGGCCCCUGGGUCCCAGAGGUGAGGGUUCCAGCCCCACUCUAGUGUCGGGGUCCCACACUUCCUGUGACCCUGUGGGAGGUGCUUCCUGCCAGCUCCAGGGGAGGGGCAGGGCUCAAGAGCAGGCAGAGCUGCUGGAGUCCAGGGUGGUACUCUUUUUCUGUUGUGUGGUACUGGAGAUUGAAUCCAGGGCCCGAGCCCUUUUGUUACUGUUUAUUUUGAGACAGGAUCUCACUAAAUCCCUGGAGUCUGGGCUGGCAUUCGGGAUCCUCCUGCCUCAGCCUCCCAGAGGGCUGGAAUCACAGGCGCACACAUGGCACCUGACCCUCGAAGGUUUUCUUCAAAUUCCAAAAGUCUCUCAUGGUUCCUCCUCCCAGUGAUGAAGGUGUGGAAGGAACACUUUUGCCAGAGACAGGUGGCAGCAGAGGGGCUAAGGGCAAAAUCUUGGCUCCUCCUUCUUGCUGUGUGGCCUCAGCUGAGUCUCAGUCCCCUUCUGAGCCCCCACGUCCUGCCCUCCUCUGGGAAGUGUUCCUCGUCCCACAGGGCGGUGGCAGGGCCCUUAAUGUGUGUGGAGCUCUUGUCGGGGGGACCCCGGCUUGACUACCACCGUGUUCCCAUCACUCCACCCACAAGGGCCAGGCUCGGGGAGUGUGGCAGAUGGGGAAACGGAGGCUGGUGGUGCAGGUGGGGUCCCAGACCACACAGCUGCUCCAUGUGGGAGGCCCCAGCUCCUCCCCUCAGGCUCCCCCUGCCUUUGUCUCCCCAGCAGGGAAGCGAGGGGCCUGCCCUGCCUGCAGGAGCUCAGCUGGCUGUGCCCACCCCAGGCUGGUCAGCUGUGCGCCUGCCCUGAGCUGGUGCCUGAAGCUGUAGGGUCUCAGUGUCCUGAGACCACAAAUGGAGAUGAUGGGUCCCUUUCCAAAGGUGGCUGCGAACUGGGCGUGGUGGUGCUCGCCUGUCAUCCCAGCACUCUGCAAGGCUGUGGCAGGGAGAUCACGAGUUUGAGCCCAGCCUGGGCAGCUUACCAAGACCCUGUCUCAAAAUAAAAAACAAAAAAUGGCAGGGGGUGUAGCUCAGUGUGAAGGCCCCAGGUUCAGUUCCCGGUAGAAGAACAAAAGGAAAAAUUGGUGUGAAGAAUAUGUGAGUUCAAACAUAGGACACACUUAGCAGUAAGGCCUGGCCCUGGGGUAAGCUUGCAGCAGGCACGGGCUGCCAUUCUGUCCCCUGAUUUCUGGUCCAGCGCAGGCUCAACCCCCCAUCAGCAUUUAGUGACCCCUUGGGGACGCCUCCCCUGCGGAUGCCUGGGGUAUGAGUGGCCUCCGACUGCUCACGCCUGUCCUGGCUCAGAUACCCGAGGUCCACUGCGGAUUGCACGGAUAAUCAGGUCAUUACCACGUGGUUUCUGCCAGACUGGGGGUCAGGAAGGCUCCCCGGAGGCGACCGAGAGCCGAGCGCGGAGGCAAAAUGUGCAGCGCGGAGCCCACGUGCACCCGACGCUUGGCAGGCGCCGAGGAAUCAGGGAGGCCACGAGUGACAUCAUCCGCUGCUGUUUACAGCUGAGCAAACACGCCGGGCUCAGCGAGGUGGCACGGUUGCCCAAGGUCACACAGCCCGGAGGAGCAGGGGGCCCACACCGGGGCGAUGCGACCUAGGGGCUAACCGGUGGAGGCUCCGACCGCCUGCCUGCCCCGCCCCGCGCACCCCGCCCACCCCCGUGGGCCUCGGGCGCCCGAAGCCACGUGAAGGCAGCCGAGGCUGCAGGAGCAGCGCAGGGCUCGUCACGGAAGGGGUUAACGCUCCCGCCGCAUUGGGCCGGCCUCCGUGGGAAGCAGCCAAUGGGCGCGUGGGGCGAAGAGGGUCUCGCACUGGAGCCUGGGUUGGCCUUGAACUUGUGGCGAUCCUCCUGCCUCAGCCCCCCCAAGUGCAGGAUGACUGGCAUGUGCCACCUCGCCUGGCUUCAAGCUCAGCUGUUAAAUGGGAAGAACAGAAGCUGCCCCUGGGCUGCGACAUCAGGCCGACCAGGUGCUUUUGGGGAGAGUGCCAUCUGGGGCACCCCAGGGAACAGCGGGUGCCACAAGGCACCUGCCCAGGGCUCCAUUUAGUGUUUUGGAGACGGAUUCCAGGUGUCCCGUUUGGGUGGGGGUGGGGAUGGAGCGCCUCGGGUAUAACACGCACAGGAGGGACCCUCCUGGUGACAGAAGUGGUCUGGACUUUGGCUGGGGUGAGGGUUGCCCUGGCCAGGAUCCCCUACAGGAAGCCACAUCCAGGCAGAAGUAAAGCAGAGGAGUCAGAGAGGUGGGGGUGGGUCAGUGCCACAUCCUGGAGUUGAGGGUGGCACUGCACUGCCAUGCACUGCAUCAUUUCUGACAGCCACAUGUGCAUCUACAGUGGUCUCCGGAAAACUUUCAGGCCAGGUGUGCUGAUGCACACUUGUAAUCCAAGCACUCAGGAGGCUGAGGCAGGAGGAUCAUUGUGAGUUCCAGCUGGAGCUACAUAGCAAGACCCUGUCUACAAAAAUAACAAAAAUAUGUACAAACAUAAGGUAUGACAUAAACUCCACAUAGCUCUUUUUUUUUUUUUCUGGAACCAGGGCUCGAACUCAGGUCCUUGUGGUUGCAAGGCAGGCGGCGGAACCACUGAACUAAAUCCCUGGCCCCACAUAGCUCUUACACAACCAUAAACCAAGGCAAAUUGAUCAGUCAAAUGCAAAAUCAAGCUGGGGAUGUAGCUCAGUGGUGCCGUGCCUGCCUGGCAAGCACACAGUUCUGAGUUCGAUCCCUAGUACCGAAAAAAAAAGCAAACUCAAUUCAAAUCAGAGUAAUCACAUGUGACAUGUUACUUCUUUUGUUUGAAACCCUGUCACUGCCCACAGUGUAGAUAUGGCCCAGCUGCCAGGGUGCUCUGAGUUGGUGAGAGAGUGGCUGGCCUUACACACACACACACGUGCACACGCAUACACACACACAGAGCAGGUGAUUUUUCCUCAGAAUACAUAAAGAAUUCCUACCAAUUAAUAAGAAAAAGGCAGACUUCUCGAGAAAAAUAGGGGGGAAACUUGAAUUAGUAAGUCUGGUGAUGCACCCCUGUCAUCCCAGCACUCAGGAGGCUGAGGCAGGAGGAUUGUAGUGAGUUUGAGGCCAGCCUGGGCUACAAAGUGAGACCCUGUCUCAAAACCAAACAGUUCUCCACAAGCAGGAUAUCCACAUGGUGCACCCCUGUGACCCCAGCACUCAGGAGGCUGAGGCAGGAGGAUCACAAGUGCAAGUUCAGCCUGGUAACUUAGUGACUUGGUGAGACUCUGUCUCAAAAUAAAAAAAAGGAAUGGGGAUGGGCCUCAGGGUGGGGGCCCACAGAAACCAAACAAGAAACCAGAAGUGAGCGGGGACAGUCACAUUGGCACUAUUCAGGGGAGUCCUACAUGAGAAGGAAUCAAUCCCAGUCCCUCUCCAUGGGACAGGCGAUAAACAAAGGUGGCUGGUCAGCUUUGAGAACAAAUCUCACAGUCAUAAUCCAAAGGAUUUCAUUUACCCGAGGGACAAAAGGAGCCAAGACAGUCGGGGUGUGAGAGAUCAGGGAGGGGUCGCCUGCCACCAGGCAGGAGGGGUGGUGCUCCAGGGCCCAAACGCCUGAGGUCAGGAGUCCCUGGAAACAGCUCUGUCCACAAGGCUCUGGGCCCCACUUCGAGCAGAUGUGGAGUGUGCCCUGGGGGCCCAGGUGUGGGGUGAGGGGAGCAGAAGGGAGGGCCAGGUCCCCGGUGCUCUUUCCCUGCCCAGCACUUGUAAUGUGGGCCUGACCCAGGCUUUUUCUGCCGCAGCCCCUGGGCCCGGCCUCUUCCCACACCAGAGCCUGCUGCCCACACUCAGGGUUCUCAGGGGAGCUGGAGGAAAGGCCUCAUCCACAUCCUGAGGCCAGGGCGGUAGGUGCCCAGCGAGAGUGGCUCUGGGGAACACAGGGUGCCUGGUGCCUUAGGCACCUUCCCUCCCUGGACUCAGUACCUGACGCCACAGGGUAAAGGAGAGAUUUAUAGGGGCCGGGGAUUUAGCUCAGUGGUUUUGCUGCCUGCUGCGCAAGCGCAAGGACCGGAGUUCAGUCCCCCGUACCAAAAAAAAAAAAAAAAAAAAAGAAGAGGUUUAUUUUCGCUUGAGGUUUAUUUUCGCUUAUAGUUUCAGUCUGUGGGUGGCCAGUUCCAAGGCAGAGCAGCAGGGCAGAAGGGCCUGGUGGAGGACACAUGCUCACUUCCUGGCGGCCAGGAAGCAGGGAGAGAAGGGAGGAGCAGGGAGAACAGCCUCUUCCAGGCCACUCCCCCAGUGGCCACCUCCGCGGAGGCCCCACCUCCUUCACAGUAUACUCGGCUAUGACCUCAGGCAUGCAGGAAUCCAUCGAUGAGUCCAGCUCCAUUGAUCCCAUCCGCUUGCACCUUACACACACAGGAGAAUUCUGGGGGACACUUCAGAUCCAAAUGUAACACCCAAUUGGCCCCUGCUGCUGACCCCAGACAACCUCAGGAAAGUUCAGCUCAAGCCACGGUUUGGAGACCUGACUGUAGGUGUUGGACCCCCUACCCCUGCUGUGGGACAUGCGAAGGUGGGUGGGUCACUUCCUGCUCCUAAAAAGUGGCCACAACCCCAGGCAGCUGGCAGGGACCAACAUGUCACUGGCAUCCGGCACAGGCCGACUGGAUGGAUGCUGAGUUCUGGAGGGGAUGCUGUGUGGGCGGCCAGCUCAGUUACAAGCUUUAGAGAAAACAGGACUCAUACUAGAAAUAAGCUCAAAUACCUGGGUGUGGAAGGACAUGCCUAUAAUCCUAGCACUCAGGAGGCUGAGGCAGGAGAGUCGGUGUGAGUUCAAGACCAGCCAGGCUCCACAGCGAGGCCUUGUCUCAGAAAAAGAAAACGCUAAGAAAAAUAAAAAUGGCAUUUGUAUGUAUUCGCAUUUUACUAUUCCUUGUAUGUUUUGUCUAUAAACCUGAAAUUUUUCCUUUAACCUAAUGACCUUUAUUUAGUAUUUAUGCUUCAGUUCUGUUAACAAAUUAUCUAUUUCAU